Long non-coding RNA from Mauremys reevesii (Reeves's turtle), 1028 nucleotides. RefSeq lists it as uncharacterized. The record is from RefSeq and is a predicted model, not a curated record. NCBI's taxonomy places the organism in Eukaryota, Metazoa, Chordata, Testudines, Geoemydidae. The transcript has 2 exons.
UUUUCCACGACAAUUUGGGGGCUCGUCCGGGAUCCACAGAUGACAUCCCUGGAUCAGAGGACCGCGGGCAGUUCCCUUCCAACCCCAGGGCCCAUCUGAGAGGUAAGAGACCUUUUGAAAUCUCUGAUAUCAGGGGCUUGGGAGAGGACUGGUCCGUAGGCUCUGGCUGGGGUAAGUCACAAGCUGGAUCCAACCUUGGGACAUGGUCAGACACACCUGAGGCCCUUACUUAGGCCUUGAUAGACUCGAGCUGGGGUUUGGGAGGGAACGGGUGUCUAGUGCAGUCGGGAGACGUCUCGGGAGUCAGGUUGAGUAUCCGGCUCAACCCCGGGCUGAGCCUUGCCUCGGCCCGGUGUUCAGGGGUCAGGUUGAGUAUCCGGCUCAACCCCGGGCUGAGCCUUGCCUCGGCCCGGUGUCAGGGGUCAGGUUGAGUAUCCGGCUCAACCCCGGGCUGAGCCUUGCCUCGGCCCGGUGUUCAGGGGUCACGGUGUGCCGGCAGCCCCUCGGACCACGCUCUUUGGGUCCGGAGAAAACUGAUCGCCUAUUAGAGCUGGGCGUUCGGCGUCCCGGAGCCACUAGGUUGGGAGGGACCAGGGGUAGUUUCAGCCCUGGCGAGCUGUGCCAGGAAACGUGCCAGUGUGAGUGAGGCCGUGCGGCCUGUGUGUGUGUAUAAGGCCGAGCAGCCGGAGUGUUGUUGGUUGUGGAAAGCAAGCUCCACAACCCGCUUGAAGAGAGAUUGAAAAGCUUCCCUGACUGGCAGGCUUUGGUAAGUGGCUAACCAGUCAGGGUGCUUGUGUUGUUCCCUAUCCUGUUGCCCUUACCCCUCCAUAUCCCCAUGGCCCUGUGACCGUUCUUUGAACACUGCCUUGUAAAAGGCCGCAGAGUCCCUUUUGUUCCCCCGGAGCCAUAAGCUCCCUUCCCUUCCUCGGAGAGGAGGGAAGCCCCAGGAAACCGUACCGUCAGCUCAAAAGCUACUGCAGCACCGUUGGCUUGAAGGCUGGUGCCCAGGGCUGGAGAGGGACGUACGG